This is a long non-coding RNA of Homo sapiens (human), 208 nucleotides long. RefSeq lists it as uncharacterized. The transcript has 3 exons. NCBI's taxonomy places the organism in Eukaryota, Metazoa, Chordata, Mammalia, Primates, Hominidae. The record is from RefSeq and is a predicted model, not a curated record.
GAAACCCAUCCUAAAUACAGAUGAAAACUUUGGGGACUCCAAAUAGCCAACACAGUCUUGAAAAGUAAAGAAGUUGGAGGAUUCACAAGUUUAAAUUCUGGUGAAAUCUACACCCAUGUCCAAAUACAGAGAAGAAGAGGGCCCUUAUGCCUCUCAGGGACUGGCUGUCAUCUAGCCACUUGAGUUUACACGCACACCAAGUUCGUUU